GACGAACGCUGGCGGCGUGCUUAACACAUGCAAGUCGAACGGAAAGGCCCUGCUUUUGUGGGGUGCUCGAGUGGCGAACGGGUGAGUAACACGUGAGUAACCUGCCCUUGACUUUGGGAUAACUUCAGGAAACUGGGGCUAAUACCGGAUAGGAGCUCCUGCUGCAUGGUGGGGGUUGGAAAGUUUCGGCGGUUGGGGAUGGACUCGCGGCUUAUCAGCUUGUUGGUGGGGUAGUGGCUUACCAAGGCUUUGACGGGUAGCCGGCCUGAGAGGGUGACCGGCCACAUUGUGACUGAGAUACGGCCCAGACUCCUACGGGAGGCAGCAGUGGGGAAUAUUGCACGAUGGGCGGAAGCCGGACGCAGCAACGCCGCGUGCGGGAUGACGGCCUUCGGGUUGUAAACCGCUUUCGCCUGUGACGAAGCGUGAGUGACGGUAAUGGGUAAAGAAGCACCGGCUAACUACGUG
This 468-nucleotide ribosomal RNA is filed under the name uncultured bacterium. RNAcentral describes it as "partial 16S ribosomal RNA". It matches the Rfam family "Bacterial small subunit ribosomal RNA", at positions 28 to 507 of the family's 1533-position model. The record is from RNAcentral.